AAACAAAUUACAUUAUUGCCCUUCAUGAAGCUAUUUGUAGCCUCUCCUCUACGCUACGCUCUCUCUCUCUCUCCCACUCUUGCUCGCUUAGCAAAAAGAACAAAAAAACAAAAAAUGUCGAAAGCCUUAGCAAAAGUCGGAACAGCCGCAAACGCGGUUUUCCGUACGAUAUCAAAAGCUUACAAGAACCCAAACACACAGGAUACGCUUGUGAACGCUUCUGUGGAACUCGGAACAUCCGCUGCGAAGACAGCCUUGGAGGGCGGGAGCAAGAAGACUCCGCCGUCACCGCCGUCGCCGCCAUCGUACAUGUACCUGAACACCAGUGCCAUGGUAGAGCAGCCUCAAGGCCGUUAUCCUUCUCAACCUCGACCCCUCUUUCCCCAGUGCCAUGGUAGAGCAGCCUCAAGGCCGUUAUCCUUCUCAACCUCGACCCCUCGUUCCCUGCUUCUUCCCGAUGGUCUCUUCUCAGACACGUCGGACGUCGUUCGUACCCACCAACACGGAUCUGGAGCCCCAGUUUCCCGAGGAAGACUUCAGAGGAGAAGGUGGUAGUUCUUUUUCCUGG
RNAcentral lists this long non-coding RNA (568 nucleotides) under Brassica napus (rape). Its description in RNAcentral is "long non-coding RNA (BNAP_LNC026900)". Lineage: Eukaryota; Viridiplantae; Streptophyta; Magnoliopsida; Brassicales; Brassicaceae. The record is from RNAcentral.